GACAGAGGUGCCAAGCGUUAGGCGGAAUCACUGGGCUUAAAGCGCGUGUAGGUGGCGGCCUAAGUACCUUGUGAAAUCCUGCGGCUCAACCGCAGAACUGCUUGGUAUACUGGGUCGCUUGAGACAUUCAGGGGCAACUGGAACAAGCGGUGGAGCGGUGAAAUGCGUAGAUAUCGCUUGGAACGCCGAAGGUGAAAACAGGUUGCUGGGGAUGUUCUGACACUGAGACGCGAAAGCCAGGGGAGCGAACGGG
Molecule: ribosomal RNA, 253 nt
Filed under: uncultured bacterium
Lineage: Bacteria
Description: partial 16S ribosomal RNA
Rfam family: Bacterial small subunit ribosomal RNA
Source: RNAcentral